UCCUGCCUCUCCCGUGAGCCACCAUGGCUGGCUCGUCGCCGUGAGAGACCAUGCCUACUCCGUCGUCGAGCCAAACUCGCGAAGGGAACAACGAGAGCCAAGGAUCCUAGGCCACCGUCGAACCAUGAGCGUCGCCGAGAUAAGACCAGAGUGACGCCGCUCCCUGUCGCUCAGAUUGAGGGCAGUUGCCUGGAACCUCGCCGGCAUCAAACUCCGCCGCGGUGUUGCCGAGCGCCGCCGUGUCGGACGAGCGAAGAAAGAGAGAGAAGAAGGGGUUAGCGUGUCUGCGGGGAGAAACAACUCCGGCCACCCGCAUCCGGUAGCAAGGUAUGAAUCACCUCCAUGGUUUCUGUUGAGCACCAUAUUGAGCGGGCGGACGGUCCGGCCCUGAGGCCGGACGGUCCGCGGUCCGGACAGUCCGCGCCUGUGGGCCGGACGGUCCGUGCAUGCGCAGAGCAGUUUAGGGUUCCGAGUUUUGUGCUAUGUUUGUUGGCUAGAUUUGCGGAAUUAACCCGGAAUCCAGUCGUGUAAAGGGUCCAGCCCCCCUCCUCUAUAUAAAGAGAGGUCUACGGCCGAUUUGUAAUCAACAAUCGAAUCAAUACAACUUCUACUUCGCAUUUUAUCUUAGGAGUAGUUCUAGUCUAGUUUAGGUUUAGCCUCUCGAUCCCCAAAUUCUCCGCCUCUCUUCGACUAUACGCCGAUUAGAGGAGUCUAGGUCGGUCGGCCCGAGCCUAGACAACCCCUAGGAUCUCUCCUCCCCGACGGGGUCCCUCCCGGGAGCGAGAUCCAGGCGCCGCCGGUGAUCUUCCGCCGCCCCUGCGCACGCGCGGACCGUCUGACCCCAGGGCGCGGACCGUCCGGCCGUCAGGCAGGAAACCCUAGCCCCUGUGCCAGGUCGCGGACCGUCCGGCCCCAGGCCGCGGACCGUCCGCCCCUGACCAGAGAGCACCGCCGCCUCGCACCAGGUCGCGGAUCGUCCGGCCCUGUGCCGCGGACCGUCCGCCCCUGUGCAGAGAGCACCGCCGCUGGUUCUCUUGAGUAAUUGGCGCCUCCAAAAAGGCGUCAACAGUUUCUCCUUGCUCAUCGCGCCGCCGGACAAUGCUUUGGGUAGCUCUGCAAUGGCGCCACCACGCCAGACCACGCGCCGUCGCUGAACGUCGAGUGAAGAAGAAACACUAUGGCCAUGGAUCUCGGAUCCAAUGGCUCUGGGCGUACCGGUUCGCUUAAAUUUCAGGAUCUAAUCCGGGCCCUUGAUCCUUCAUCGGGCGGCCCCGGUUGUCCUGUACCCCUUCAGGCCACCGAUUUGCAAAAGAGCCCCUGUGAUUUUUCGUAUUCAACUCGUCGUCCUGUGCGGGGGAAUCCUGAGUCUUAUGAUCUUUUGCGAGAUGGCCCCUGUGUUUCUCUGUUAUUGGCGCCCAGUCCAGAGUUCCAGGAAAAUCAGAUUAAUGAAUUUAGAAUUUGAUUUUCAAUAAAAAAAUAAUACUAGGAACUUGUAUAAUUCAUAGAAAAUCCAUAUUAAGUCCAAAUUAGUCCAUUCCAGUUCCUAUAACUUUGUAAUAUUAUUGUUUAUAAUUUUGUGCCUCUGUUUUGACAUAAAAGCCACAUUAAAAUUGUUAUCUUAAUUAAUCUUGUACAAAGCACAUAGAAUCUUUGGAAAAUCCAUAACUUAAAAUCUAUAAAUACAAAAUUAAUAAUUCAUGUUCCUAUGAUCUUAUUUCAAUAUGUAGAUUAUUAAUAUAUAUAUUGCAUAUAUUUUUGGUGUAAUGUUUAUUUUGCCUAUACACCAUUUGUUUGUAAUGCUACGACUAGCGCGAGGCCACGAGUCAUCUGAAAAGCAAGUUGGUACCUGGAAUCUCAAGUCCCAGGCAAGUUGUGCCAUUGAUCACUUCUUUUUACCCACUCAUGUUCUAAUUAAUCAUAAUGAUCUGCAUAGGUUAAUUUUGAUGGGACCCAAUAGGAUACCCUAGUUUGUCUAUCUUUAUACCUUGUUUACCACUGAACUUUCUGGGUAGUACUUGCUAGUGCUAUAUGUGGUUUUGGGUAUGGAGAUACAUUAUUCAUGAUUACACUUUUGUUAUCAGUUGUUAUUUACUGUUCAUGAUAAGAUCAUUAUGUUAAUUGGAACAUGGAGAACCACCCGGGAAAACAGUGCUACCACAAGGGUUUAAUGGGACGCCCUUGGCUGAUUAAUUAGGAAAGCUAGUGGAUGACUACCUUACCCGAAAGGGGCAAGGGCAGUAGGGGAGUGGUCAGUGUAGGGAGGCCCUUGGGAUGAUUUUGCUGCGAUGGCGGUCAUGCGAGGGAUUCCUGCAUUGGAGCUUCCUAUAAACUGUAGCGGGUUUUCUGAAGCUAGUGGAACUUUGUAAAGGCCUCGUAGUGUUACCCUGCCUCGCCUCCUCGAUAGAGGUGUAUGGGAUUGGCCGUCUCUUGGCAGAUGGGUAACAUGACUUGUGGGUAAAGAUGCGCAACCUCUGCAGAGUGUAAAACUGGUAUACUAGCCGUGCUCACGGUCAUGAGCAGCUCGGACACUCACAUGAUUAAUUUAUGGAACUAAAUUCAAUUUGUCAUAUGCAUUGCAUCGCAGGUGAUGUUGUUAUUACUUUUGUUCUACUACUUAAUUGGGUUGGUAUUUACCUAUACUUAGUAACUGCUAAUAAAAUUUUGACCAACUUUAAAAGCAAUGCUCAACUCUAACCAUCCUCUUUGGUAAGCCUUACACUUCACGUGAGCUCCCACCUUUGGCGAGUUCAUGCACAUUAUUCCCCACAACUUGUUGAGCUAUGAACGUAUGUGAGCUCACUCUUGUUGUCUCACACCCCCCACAGGUCAAGAACAGGUACCACAGGAUGAGGCACAUGGAGGAUGCUGCGAUGUGUUCGUGAGAGGUCUAGGUCGUCGUCUCCCAGUCAACUUUGGGUUGUUGGACCAUUGUCUCCUUAUAAUGUAAUUAUUUAUUUAUUUUGUACAGAACUUCUAUUAUAUAGCAAAUAUGUGACAUUCGAUCUUGUGCCAUGAUUCAUCAUAUGUGUGAGACUUGGUCUCAGCAUACCUGGUGAUUAUGUUCGCGCCCGGGUCUUGGUGCCCCGAAACCCAGGUGUGACAGCUAUGAACUCUCGUUCACUAGCUUGGGCAAAGGAAGCUAGAGCUCGAGCUUGAGUGGAAGAGCUUAGCUCAACCGUGGAUAGCUUGCAGGUUUAUUGCAACACACUACAUGAAGAAGUUCAUGUACUGUACUCGCAACUACACCCGAACGUCCCUGCGGAUCCUGUCAGGACAGAAGCCGGACCUUCUCAGGUAGCGGGAGAAGCUUUUGUUGGUGAGCUGGACCUUUUUAGGCCCCCUCCCUCUAUGAAGCUGGUCGAUGAAUGGUCUUCGACGCCUGACAGCGAGGCUACCCAGAGUGACAAAAAGUAGGAAUAGUAUAGUACAGAAGUAGUACUAUUGUGUAAUAGGGGGUGUAAUCCUAUUGUAAAGUACAAGUUUGUAACAUUACUUUUUUUAAGUAAUGUGAAAUGGAUGGUUUG
Molecule: long non-coding RNA, 3524 nt
Filed under: Zea mays
Lineage: Eukaryota; Viridiplantae; Streptophyta; Magnoliopsida; Poales; Poaceae
Description: long non-coding RNA (ZMAY_LNC003052)
Source: RNAcentral